This 253-nucleotide ribosomal RNA is filed under the name uncultured bacterium. Its description in RNAcentral is "partial 16S ribosomal RNA". It matches the Rfam family "Bacterial small subunit ribosomal RNA", at positions 524 to 776 of the family's 1533-position model. The record is from RNAcentral.
UACGGAGGGGGCUAGCGUUGUUCGGAAUUACUGGGCGUGAAGCGCACGUAGGCGGACUGUUAAGUCGGGGGUGAAAUCCCGGGGCUCAACCCCGGAAUGGCCUUCGAUACUGGCGGUCGUGAGGUCUUGAGAGGUGAGUGGAAAUUCGAGUAUAGAGGUGAAAUUCGUAGAUAUUCGGAGGAACACCAGUCGCGAAGGCGGCUCACUGGCCAGAUACUGGCGCUGAGGUGCGAUAGCGUGGGGAGCAAACCGG